Molecule: long non-coding RNA, 1134 nt
Filed under: Homo sapiens (human)
Lineage: Eukaryota; Metazoa; Chordata; Mammalia; Primates; Hominidae
Description: SLC44A3 antisense RNA 1, transcript variant 4 (SLC44A3-AS1)
Source: RNAcentral
CUCUUCCCGGCAUGGGUUUCUGCCCAGCUCACCCGCUGUCAGCUGGGGUCCUGCUCUGGUGGGAGGAAGAGGCUCAGACGCUUCCCUGCCCUCUCGCCUCAACCACCUCGAGGCAGCGGCUCCCAGGAUGUGCACUUUGACGACUAAAGCUGAGCCGGCGCCGCCACGACCUUGGGCGGGUGGUCGGCCUCUGCCCUGAGCAGGAAGUAGAAAGUCUCAGCAGACCCUUCCUGAGGGCCGAGCAACAGUGUAGUGGCGUAUUCCACAUAGCAAACAGGUGAAUUCCUUGGAAGAUGAGGGCCAAGUCUUAUUCUUCUCAGUCUCUUCUGCAUCUAGCAGAAGAAUAAUGGUUGCACAGAAAAUCUUGGUUCAGUGGUUGAGUGAAUGAAUGGAUGAACAGGCUCUUGCACACAAAGAAGAGACAUGAUGUAUUUGCAUCCUUCCCUGCUUCAGCCAGGUCCCCAGACAGUCCCGGUGUGCACACUUCCCUGCUUCUGUUCAUGAUGUUCUCUGAACCUGGGAUCACCUUUCCCCUUCCUCUUACCUGCCCGAUCCUACUUGUCCUCCCAGAUUCAGUUUUCUGAAGCUCAGAGGGACACCUUGUAUUGCUGGAUGAUAAAAACAGGAGCAAAGUGAUGAAGUGCUGACAAGGCAACAAUAGAACAUGAGAGAUUCACUGCUGUGUAGGAAGAGAUCUUCGGUGACCAUGUAGCCUGAAGCUCUCAUUUUGUCAUCGAGGGACACCAAAACUCAGAACAGUGCUAAGCUCCUACAUCCUGUUCUGGAAGGACAAUCCUGAGCACACGAUGAGCCAUAUAAACUUCAGACUGACGCUGAGUGAAAGAAUGCUGGAAAAGCAUCACAGGCCAGGGCAGCAAAGUCUUCAAGGUCAUCCGUGCUCUGAUGAUGUCACGCUUCUUCCCUGUCUGGAAGACAUUUCCCCAAGAGCAUACCACCAACAUCAGGGAAAUGGAAUCCAACUGGUCGCUGCAAAGUUUGCUGAGCACACAGUGAUAAAGAUGGCAAGAAGGUCCUGAGAGAAACGCAAUAUUUUUGUGCAGAAUGGGAUGUUCUGCCUUUGUCCCAUGCUUUGAAAUUUACCACAUGAAAAAUAAAAUUAAAUACUGAUCAUCA